CGGCGAGUGAAGCGGCAACAGCUCAAAUUUGAAAUCUGGCCCUUUCAGGGUCCGAGUUGUAAUUUGUAGAGGGCGCUUUGGUGUUGGCUGCGGUCUAAGUUCCUUGGAACAGGACGUCACAGAGGGUGAGAAUCCCGUACGUGGUCGACAGUCUUCACCGUGUAAAGCCCCUUCGACGAGUCGAGUUGUUUGGGAAUGCAGCUCUAAAUGGGAGGUAAAUUUCUUCUAAAGCUAAAUAUUGGCCAGAGACCGAUAGCGCACAAGUAGAGUGAUCGAAAGAUGAAAAGCACUUUGGAAAGAGAGUCAAAAAGCACGUGAAAUUGUUGAAAGGGAAGCGCUUGCAAUCAGACUUGCCUGUAGUUGCUCAUCCGGACUCUUGUCCGGUGCACUCUUCUGCGGGCAGGCCAGCAUCAGUUCAGGCGGCUGGAUAAAGGCCUCUAUCACGUAUCUUCCUUCGGGAUGACCUUAUAGGGGAGGUGUAAUGCAGCCAGCCUGGAUUGAGGUCCGCGCAUCUGCUAGGAUGCUGGCGUAAUGAUUGUAAGCGGCCCGUCUUGAAACACGGACCAAGGAGUCUAACAUCUAUGCGAGUGUUUGGGUGUCAAGCCCGGACGCGCAAUGAAAGUGAACGGAGGUGGGAACCCUCACGGGUGCACCAUCGACCGAUCCUGAUGUCUUCGGAUGGAUUUGAGUAAGAGCAUAGCUGUUGGGACCCGAAAGAUGGUGAACUAUGCCUGAAUAGGGUGAAGCCAGAGGAAACUCUGGUGGAGGCUCGCAGCGGUUCUGACGUGCAAAUCGAUCGU
RNAcentral lists this ribosomal RNA (800 nucleotides) under Biatriospora borsei. RNAcentral's name for it is "Biatriospora sp. VVS-2018a partial large subunit ribosomal RNA". It matches the Rfam family "Eukaryotic large subunit ribosomal RNA", at positions 87 to 905 of the family's 3401-position model. The record is from RNAcentral. Lineage: Eukaryota; Fungi; Ascomycota; Dothideomycetes; Pleosporales; Biatriosporaceae.